This 73-nucleotide transfer RNA is filed under the name Cordylochernes scorpioides. Its description in RNAcentral is "tRNA-Thr". Lineage: Eukaryota; Metazoa; Arthropoda; Arachnida; Pseudoscorpiones; Chernetidae. The record is from RNAcentral.
GUCCAGGGAUGGGAAACGAACCCACAAUGUUCCGCUUACCGGGCAGAUGCCAUGUCCACUAGGUUACCCUGGA